This 705-nucleotide ribosomal RNA is filed under the name uncultured Basidiomycota. RNAcentral's name for it is "LSU rRNA". It matches the Rfam family "Eukaryotic large subunit ribosomal RNA", at positions 399 to 1095 of the family's 3401-position model. Lineage: Eukaryota; Fungi; Basidiomycota. The record is from RNAcentral.
GUGAAAUUGUUGAAAGGGAAACGCUUGAAGUCAGUCAUGCCGUCCAGGGAUCAACCUUGCUUUUGCUUGGUGCACUUUCUGGUUUGACGGGUCAGCAUCAAUUUUGACCAUUGGAAAAAGGCUAAGAGAAUGUGGCAUCUUUGGAUGUGUUAUAGCCCUUGGUCGCAUACAAUGGUUGGGAUUGAGGAACUCAGCACGCCGAAAGGCCGGGUUUUAAACCACGUUCGUGCUUAGGAUGCUGGCAAUAUGGCUUUAAUCGACCCGUCUUGAAACACGGACCAAGGAGUCUAACAUGCCUGCGAGUGUUUGGGUGGAAAACCCGAGCGCGUAAUGAAAGUGAAAAGUUGAGAUCCCUGUCGUGGGGAGCAUCGACGCCCGGACCAGACCUUUUGUGACGGUUCCGCGGUAGAGCAUGUAUGUUGGGACCCGAAAGAUGGUGAACUAUGCCUGAAUAGGGUGAAUCCAGAGGAAACUCUGGUGGGGGCUCGUAGCGAUUCUGACGUGCAAAUCGAUCGUCAAAUUUGGGUAUAGGGGCGAAAGACUAAUCGAACCAUCUAGUAGCUGGUUCCUGCCGAAGUUUCCCUCAGGAUAGCAGAAACUCAUAUCAGAUUUAUGUGGUAAAGCGAAUGAUUAGAGGCCUUGGGGUUGAAACAGCCUUAACCUAUUCUCAAACUUUAAAUAUGUAAGAACAAGCCGUCUCUUGAU